This 445-nucleotide ribosomal RNA is filed under the name uncultured bacterium. Its description in RNAcentral is "partial 16S ribosomal RNA". It matches the Rfam family "Bacterial small subunit ribosomal RNA", at positions 354 to 796 of the family's 1533-position model. The record is from RNAcentral.
GUGAGGAAUAUUGGACAAUGGGCGCAAGCCUGAUCCAGCCAUGCCGCGUGCAGGAAGACGCAUCUAUGGUGUGUAAACUGCUUUUGUACGGGAAGAAACACUCCCUCGUGAGGGAGCUUGACGGUACCGUAAGAAUAAGGAUCGGCUAACUCCGUGCCAGCAGCCGCGGUAAUACGGAGGAUCCAAGCGUUAUCCGGAAUCAUUGGGUUUAAAGGGUCUGUAGGCGGUUUAAUAAGUCAGUGGUGAAAGCCCAUCGCUCAACGAUGGAACGGCCAUUGAUACUGUUAGACUUGAAUUACAAGGAAGUAACUAGAAUAUGUAGUGUAGCGGUGAAAUGCUUAGAUAUUACAUGGAAUACCAAUUGCGAAGGCAGGUUACUACUUGUGGAUUGACGCUGAUGGACGAAAGCGUGGGGAGCGAACAGGAUUAGAAACCCCAGUAGUCC